RNAcentral lists this ribosomal RNA (2763 nucleotides) under Triticum aestivum (bread wheat). Its description in RNAcentral is "partial small subunit ribosomal RNA". The record is from RNAcentral. Lineage: Eukaryota; Viridiplantae; Streptophyta; Magnoliopsida; Poales; Poaceae.
AUGGAGCAACCAACGCCGAGAACAACGGCAGUCGUGCCAUGGUUGCUGCUGCUCUGCCUCGUCUGCAGGGCACCGCAAGCUCGUGCCCAGCCCGACAACAAUGAUUUCAUAAGCAUAGACUGCGGUCUUCCAGGGGAGACAGGCUACAGGGAUAACACCACCUCGUUGUACUACACGACGGACGCUGGCUUCAUCGACACUAAUGCCGGCAUAAACCACAACAUCUCCGCUCAGUACAUCAACCCGUCGAUUCCCACGAGCUUGCACAGCGUGCGCAGCUUCCCCAGCGGCGAGCGCAACUGCUACACUCUGGGCUCACUCGUGUCCGGGCUCAAGUACCUCAUCCGGGGCCAGUUCUUGUACGGCAACUACGAUGGCUUCAACAGGCUACCCAUCUUCGACCUCUACAUCGGCGUUAACUUCUGGACGACGGUGAACAUCUCAUCAUCCGACGCAGCGGUGUAUGCGGAGGCCAUCAUGGUCGUGCCGGAAGAUUCCGUGCAGGUUUGCCUCAAGAACACCGACCGCGGGGUGCCGUUCAUCUCUGGGCUGGAUGUAAGGCCGCUGACGAUCAAGCUCUACCCACUGGCCAACGAGACACAGGCCCUCGUUCUGCUUCACAGGUUUAACUUCGGACCCACUGAUGAAACAAUUAUCAGGUACCCUUAUGAUCCAUAUGACCGGAUAUGGUUCCCUUUUGUCGACAUGACAGACUGGGCUGAGAUAAAAACUGGGGAAAAGGUGAAAAUUGAUGACGAGCUCUUCCAGCCGCCCGAGGCAGUGAUGCAGACGGCCGUCACGCCGCAGCUCGUCUCCAAGAACAUAGAGUUUACCUUGGACCUCCAGAGUUUCCCUAGUGACCUGGGGUACAUCCAUAUGUUGUACUUCUGUGAACUGGAACAUCUUCCAACAAAUGCACUACGGGAGUACAACAUCUACCGGAAUGACGUGCUGAGGCACUCAAAUUACACUCCGCCAUACCUUGUGAACGAUUACAUCUACUCAUCCGAGCCCUUUCAAGUCGACCAGUACAAGGUCUCCCUCAACGCCACCGCUAUGUCGACGCUGCCGCCCAUCAUAAACGCCAUUGAGCUAUUCGCCGUGAUCCCAACUACCAUCCAGGGCACCGACACACAGGACGUAUCUGCCAUCACCGCAAUCAAGGAGAUAUACCAGGUGCACAAGAACUGGAUGGGUGACCCGUGCAUUCCCAAGGCUCUGUGCUGGGAUGGGUUGACCUGCAGCUACGACGUUUCCAAACCUCCAAAAAUUAGAAACGUAAACAUGUCCUUCAAUGGUCUGCAUGGUGGUAUAUCGCCAAAUUUCGCAAAUCUAAAGGACGUCCAAUACUUGGAUCUCUCAAACAAUAAUUUAACAGGAUCAAUUCCAGACACCCUUUCACGAAUACAAUCAUUAAUAUUUUUAGAUCUCUCAAACAACAAUCUGAAUGGAUCCAUUCCUUAUGGACUUAUCAAAAAAAUUCAGGAUGGGUCCUUGGAUUUGAGAUAUGUCAACAAUCCCGAUCUCUGUACUAAUGGCAACUCAUGUCAGCUUGCUGAAGGGCGCACCAAACUAGCCAUCUACAUAGCUGUUUCUGUAGUUGUGAUUGUGGUGUUAGUAUUAGUGGCAGUACUAUGCUUUUGCUUCCAAAGAAAAAGAAAGCAAGGAUCAAUCAAUUAUUCUGUAAAGCUGACAAGUGAUGGCGAUGGGAAUAGUUCGCUUCGACUUGAGAACCGUCGGUUCACGUACAUGGAACUGGAGACAAUAACGAACAACUUCGAGCGAGUGCUUGGCCAAGGAGGGUUCGGGCAUGUCUUCCACGGCUCCCUGGAAGAUGGCACUCAGGUGGCAGUAAAGUUGAGGUCUCAUUCUUCAAAUCAAGGUGUCAAACAAUUCCUCGCAGAGGCUCAAGUUUUAACACGGAUUCAUCACAAGAAUCUUGUGUCCAUGAUUGGUUACUGCAAGGAUGGGGUGCACAUGGCACUUGUCUAUGAGUACAUGCCUCAAGGAACCCUACAAGAGCACAUUGCAAGGGAAGACAACAAAGGGCGAGGUUUACCAUGGAGGCAAAGACUCCGAGUCGCACUUGAAUCGGCACAAGGUCUGGAGUACCUACAUAAGGGGUGCAGCCCACCUAUAAUUCACAGGGAUGUCAAAACCGCCAACAUCUUGUUAAACGCAAGGCUAGAGGCCAAGAUUGCCGAUUUUGGUUUGUCCAAGGCUUUCACCUGCGACGAUAACACCCACGUAUCCACCAACACGUUUGUCGGCACACACGGAUAUGUAGAUCCAGAGUAUCAGAGAACAAUGCAUCCAUCGACCAAGAGCGACGUGUAUAGCUUUGGUGUCGUGCUACUAGAGCUAGUCACAGGAAAGCCAGCCAUCCUACGCAACCCCAGGCCCAUCAACAUCAUCAACUGGGCACGACAACUACUUGCACAGGGCGACAUUGAAGGCAUAGUGGAUGCGCGUAUGCAAGGUGAUCAUGACAUCAAUGCCGUUUGGAAGACUACAAACAUUGCACUCAUGUGCACUGAGCAAGCUCCCGCGCAGAGGCCCUCCAUGACUGAGGUGGUGAUGCAGCUACAGGAGUGCCUCGAUCUCGAGGAAGGCAACGGCGGUAGUGGCAUGAACCCACACAUGGGUUACAAUGCUACCAUUAACCAGUCCAUUGGUGUGAGCCAGAACAACACUAUGUUUGAGACAGCGUAUAAUUAUACGACAGGGCCACCAAUGGACAGCAGUCCCGCGUCCACCCGAUGA